Molecule: ribosomal RNA, 211 nt
Filed under: uncultured bacterium
Lineage: Bacteria
Description: partial 16S ribosomal RNA
Rfam family: Bacterial small subunit ribosomal RNA
Source: RNAcentral
UACGUAGGGGCAAGCGUUGGUCCGGAUUUACUGGGCGUAAAGAGCGUGUAGGCGGCCAAGCAGGUCCGUUGUGAAAACUGGAGGCUUAACCUCCAGACGUCGACGGAACCGCGUGACUAGAGUCCGGAAGAGGAGAGUGGAAUUCCGUGGUGUGAGCGGUGAAAUGCGCAGAUAUCAGGAGGAACACCAAUGGCGAAGGCAGCACCUCUGG